ACUUUACUAGGUUCCAGGGAUACUAGGCAAAAAAAAAAAAACCUAUUCUCUCCAUGUGCUUAUAUCCUAGAGAGCAGAAGGUCUACAUACAAAAUGUACAUAAAUAUUAAUAGAUAUAAAUGACAUGUUAGGGAGUACAUCAGGGGAAUUCCAAAAUUGACUUGUUAACCUUAUGGGGUAGUAAGCCUAUUUGAUAUUUUUGAAAGCAGAUACUUAUAAAGACUUUGGACAAGCCUACUGAUGCUUUCUUUGUUCAACAAUGAUAGAAGACUUCCAGAAUAAGAUUCAGUGACGGGGGCUGUCCUGAAUAGAAUUGUCCUGAUCCUUGGCAUGAGGAAUUUUGUUUGCAGGAUCUUUCCUUUGGGGGGGGGCAGUAGGUUUCACUGAAGAUGCAUUUAAACAUCUUUUGCUUGUUUGUUUUGGUCUUUUCUCCUUUCUAGAAAGAUGUGGAGAGUGCAGAAGGGAGAGGAUGGGGAUUCUAUCCUCACUAAGAGAAGUUAAUGGCUACCUUGGAGAUAUAUACUUGAAUACAAAGCCCAAGAAGGAACUUUAGUCUCCAGUUUAGAGGAAGGGGAAUUUCCUGGGUAACAUAAAUCUUAGGGGGUGUCUCAUGUUUUAGAGUCUUGACAUCCCAGGAUCAAAUCUUCUGGUCAAAUAAGAAGAGUUUUGUAGACAAUGUGAACCGCACACCCCAUAAUGCCCUUUAUGACAAUAGAGAAAGCAAGGAGAGUGGUUGGUUCUUAGUAACACCAACCAAAUGGAUCUAGCCGAAAAUUGUGAGAUACUUUAUAGUUGUUAUUUAAAUUGGAUCAAAAUUAUACAAGAAAACCAGAUAAGAUUCAGUGAGCAAUGUCAGGGGAAUUUCCUGAGCAGCAAAGAGCAGUUGGCUCCAUCCAGGGAAGAACAAAAGUAGGGAAUCAAAGGAGCGUGGAUAAUGAAGAGAAGUGUUGUCUGAUACUCAUAAUAGAGUUGGGAAAAGCACAUUUCAAAGGAUUGAGAGAAGAGAGAGUCCCCCUCUACGUCUGACUCAGGAAGCACAUCCUUCAUGUUAACCCAUAACUCCCCUUCUCCCAAGCCUGAGUGGAAUAGUAGAUGGAACAUUGAACUUGGAUAAAGGAAGAUCUGAGAUUGGAUCCUGCCUCUGACACUUAGUAGGUGUGUGACCCUCAGCAUGUCACUUGACUCUCUCAGCCUUAGUUUCCUUUUAUUUAAAAUGUGAAAUAAUAACAAUAUAUGUGCCCAUAGAAUUAUGUAGCAUCAAAUGAGGUUACCUAUGGAAAGUGUUUUGCUAACCCUAAAACACUAUCCAAAUUUUGGCUAUAUGUACAUAGGAUCCUACCAAGGGUUACCUUACACAACCCAGUUAACCUAAUAUUACAGUUUGGUCAAAUCUAAAAGAGAAAUAUGUCCUUUUGCUGUCUCAGAAGUUCACAUGAGUAUUUUCAACAACAGAAGAAAGGAUAAAGAGCAAUAGAAAAUUAUGGAUCAGAAUACAGUUUCCUCUUCAAGGUGCUUUUACAUAUAUUUCAUUCUACACUCAUAUUUUAUCUCCUUGGCAACAUAUUCUGCAGAAUCCAGUGCCUUUAAAAUACAUGACCAACCCAAUCCUGUAAUUAACAGUGGUUACCAUUGAGUAAAACAUUAACCCUUAAGGUUAACCAGAAGAAAAUAUUUAUUGAUAUUCAUCAAGGAAAGCAUGUCAACCAGUAGAAUUGGCUCAUGUUAAU
Molecule: long non-coding RNA, 1727 nt
Organism: Monodelphis domestica (gray short-tailed opossum)
Lineage: Eukaryota; Metazoa; Chordata; Mammalia; Didelphimorphia; Didelphidae
Source: Ensembl